This is a long non-coding RNA of Homo sapiens (human), 291 nucleotides long. RefSeq lists it as uncharacterized. Lineage: Eukaryota; Metazoa; Chordata; Mammalia; Primates; Hominidae. The record is from RefSeq and is a predicted model, not a curated record. The transcript is spliced from 2 exons.
CUUAUAGGCAAUGGACAUUGAUCUCUCACGGUUCUGGAGGUGAGAAUGUACAAGAUCAACAUGACAGCAAACUCAGUGUUUGGGAGCUGGUCCCAGAGCAGAAACAACUGGUGAUGAGAUUUGGACUUCAGACAAGCCUAGAUUUGAACCUCACUUCUGCUACAUAUCAGCCAUCUGGCCAUCUGACUUCAUCUCUCUGAGCCCGUUCCCUCAUCUGAAAAACAAACAUUGAUGCCUAAGGGUGGUUAUGAGAAUUGAAUAAAAUAAAGUUUGUAAAGAACUUUGCAAAUA